UAGCAUAUCAAUAAGCGGAGGAAAAGAAACUAACGAGGAUUCCCCUAGUAACUGCGAGUGAAGCGGGAAAAGCUCAAAUUUGAAAUCUGGCGGUCUUUGGCUGUCCGAGUUGUAAUCUAGAGAAGUGUUACCCGCGUUGGACCGUGUAUAAGUCUCCUGGAAUGGAGCGUCAUAGAGGGUGAGAAUCCCGUCUUUGACACGGACUACCAAGGCUUUGUGGUAUGCUCUCAAAGAGUCGAGUUGUUUGGGAAUGCAGCUCAAAAUGGGUGGUAAAUGCCAUCUAAAGCUAAAUAUUGGCGAGAGACCGAUAGCGAACAAGUACCGUGAGGGAAAGAUGAAAAGAACUUUGGAAAGAGAGUUAAACAGUACGUGAAAUUGCUGAAAGGGAAACGCUUAAAGUCAGUCGCGUUGGCUUGAAAUCAACCUUGCUUUUGCUGGGUGUACUUUCUAGUUGACGGGUCAACAUCAGUUUUGACCAGUGGAUAAAGUCAAUGGGAAUGUGGCUCCUUCGGGAGUGUUAUAGCCCAUAGUCGCAUACAUUGGUUGGGACUGAGGCUCUCAGCACGCCUUUAUGGCCUGGUUUCGACCAAGUUCGUGCUUAGGAUGUUGGCAUAAUGGCUUUAAUCGACCCGUCUUGAAACACGGACCAAGGAGUCUAACAUGCUUGCGAGUAUUUGGGUGGAAAACCCUUGUGCGUAAUGAAAGUGAAAGUUGAGAUCCCUGUCGUGGGGAGCAUCGACGCCUGGACCAGAGCUUUUGUGACGGAUCCACGGUAGAGCACGUAUGUUGGGACCCGAAAGAUGGUGAACUAUGCCUGAAUAGGGUGAAGCCAGAGGAAACUCUGGUGGAGGCUCGUAGCGAUUCUGACGUGCAAAUCGAUCGUCAAAUUUGGGUAUAGGGGCGACAUGA
RNAcentral lists this ribosomal RNA (909 nucleotides) under Crepidotus malachius. RNAcentral's name for it is "partial large subunit ribosomal RNA". It matches the Rfam family "Eukaryotic large subunit ribosomal RNA", at positions 36 to 930 of the family's 3401-position model. The record is from RNAcentral. Lineage: Eukaryota; Fungi; Basidiomycota; Agaricomycetes; Agaricales; Crepidotaceae.